RNAcentral lists this long non-coding RNA (760 nucleotides) under Homo sapiens (human). Its description in RNAcentral is "PREDICTED lncRNA (TCONS_00218799)". The record is from RNAcentral. Lineage: Eukaryota; Metazoa; Chordata; Mammalia; Primates; Hominidae.
ACAAAGACAAUCUGACCAUGCCCACUUACUGCCCGGGGGCUUCCUUGCUGAUACUGACAUAUAAGACCCCAAAGGAGCUGCUGAGCAUUUAUGUGAGUACAAUCCGGAAGUCCAGAUGCAGGGAGAGGAGGAACAGAAGACUGGGAGCUAGAAAUUUCCGCUCUGAAGAACAAAUCUAUGACCAAUGGAGGCUAGAUCAAACAGGGGAUCUGCUGUAUUCCUGAGGCUGGAGUGCAGUGGUACAAUCUCAACUCACUGCAGCUUUUGUCUCCCAGGCUCAAGUGAUCUUUCCAUCUCAGCCUCCCUAGUAGCUGGGAUUACAGUUUGAUGAGAAAUAUUCCUGAAGACCAUUAAUCAGGGAUACAUGCUGCUGUGUGGUGAGUAUGGAAACUUAUAACACUAUUUAUUAUGGCCCAUGACGGGAUGGAGCAUGUUUACUUUUUGGUGUGUACAGUGGACACCCUACCAAGGAACUGUUUCUCAGCUGGGAAUUUUAGCGUCCCUAACUCUGACGUGCCCUUUAGUACCAGGUCUGAGCAAACUACCUUGAGGAAGAUUAAUUCCAUGUCUGCCUGUGAUAUAGACAUGGAGAAACUCAUUUUUCACAGCUAUAAGCAUCCAUCCAGAGGAGUCAGAAUAAGAAAAGACAAAAUGGAGCUAUCACUGUGGAAUGAGUGCAAUGGGUAGACCUGAGAUAACUCUUUGAGCUCCCGUAAGCAAAUACUGUCAGGAAAAAGGGUUCUGAGGCCCUGGAAUUUUG